GACAGAGGGUGCAAACGUUGUUCGGAAUUACUGGGCGUAAAGCGCGUGUAGGCGGCAGGGCAUGUCGGAUGUGAAAUCCCGUGGCUCAACCACGGAAGUGCACCCGAAACUGCCCAGCUUGAGUCUCGGAGAGGAAGGCGGAAUGCUUGGUGUAGAGGUGAAAUUCGUAGAUAUCAAGCGGAACACCAAUGGCGAAAGCAGCUUUCUGGGACGGUACUGACGCUGAGACGCGAAAGCGUGGGGAGCGAACAGG
This 253-nucleotide ribosomal RNA is filed under the name uncultured bacterium. RNAcentral's name for it is "partial 16S ribosomal RNA". It matches the Rfam family "Bacterial small subunit ribosomal RNA", at positions 524 to 776 of the family's 1533-position model. The record is from RNAcentral.